Molecule: non-coding RNA, 453 nt
Organism: Phalacrocorax carbo (great cormorant)
Lineage: Eukaryota; Metazoa; Chordata; Aves; Suliformes; Phalacrocoracidae
Source: RefSeq, a predicted model, not a curated record
UGAGGACAGGGCAGUGCCAGCUGUGGGAAGGGGGAAGAGAAGUCAAAAAGCAGGGGCCGAACCUGGCGGGGGGCUGUCCGGGGCUCAGCAGCACCCCCCGCCGCCGCUCUCCCCGCGCAGAUCUGCGCAUGCGCCACGCCAACUGCGCCACCACCCCCUUCGCACCCGGAGCAACCCCAACCCCGCGCAAACGGCGCAGCGAGUCGUGACUGAGUCCCAGCGGAAAAGCUAAUCCCAGCCCGCCAAAGCCUGGUCUUUCCACGAGCAAGUCGUAGAAAUGAAGUGCACAGCUCCGCCAGGCAGCACAAACUGCCCCACAGGGCCACCCUGGGGACACUGCCACCAGACCCUGGGUCGAAGGCAAGGCUGGGAUCUCUGCUAGUCCUAAUUAUCUUAACGCACCUGCCUGACAAGGGCGGGUGUGUGUGUGUGUGUGAAAUAAAUCAAAAGUUA